Mustela erminea (ermine) is the source of this 709-nucleotide long non-coding RNA. RefSeq lists it as uncharacterized. NCBI's taxonomy places the organism in Eukaryota, Metazoa, Chordata, Mammalia, Carnivora, Mustelidae. The transcript is spliced from 5 exons. The record is from RefSeq and is a predicted model, not a curated record.
AGUCUAGGGGCCGUGGGGAGCUGGAGGAAGAGAUCCAGUGUAAAUAUAACUUCCAAGGUGACCAUUGCUCUAUUGCUCUCUUGGCAGUUUCUUGCUUUCUGUUGCACUGCGUGAAGUGUGAAGCUUAUUCUUGAAGAGACCUCUACCUGGCUCUACAGUGGAAAUGGAUCCAGAAGUUUCUAGAUAGUUUUGAGGAGAAGUGGGUCAGAAGGGAGGAGAGCCCAACAUUGUUUGAAAGAGUGUAGCCUAGAACUCAACUGGAUGGAUCCACACACUGAAUUACACAGAUGCGUGGCACUUUGAUGAAGGCUUGAGAGCAGCUGAAGAAACAGUACGGAGGGAGCCUGGAGGAGCUGCUUACAUACGAAGCAGGCCUGUAGAGAAGAUGGAGUUUGUGGCCCUCAUGGAAUGAAGGAAAAGUAUUUGAGCAUUAGACCUCCCACUUUCAAUGGUUUGUACAAAGACGUCUAUUUCUAGAAGAAAAACAUCUAUCGUGUCCCGUUCAUUCCAAAGCACUGAGCAGUCCAGACAGGACCAAGCAAACGUGAUCCAUGAGGAACAGGGAUGAACAAGGUUGCAGGGGAGAAGCGCGCUCUGCUGGGGCGGAGCCCACACUCGCUGCCCUGAGGACCCUACCCUGUGUCAGGUCCUCCCUGGGUCCUUCUUCAGCAAACCAAGCAUGAUUAAAGUAGGCUUUUAACAAUACUCA